RNAcentral lists this ribosomal RNA (578 nucleotides) under uncultured bacterium. RNAcentral's name for it is "bacterial SSU rRNA". It matches the Rfam family "Bacterial small subunit ribosomal RNA", at positions 338 to 916 of the family's 1533-position model. The record is from RNAcentral.
CCUACGGGAGGCAGCAGUAGGGAAUAUUGGGCAAUGGACGGAAGUCUGACCCAGCCAUGCCGCGUGCAGGAAGAAGGCGCUCAGCGUUGUAAACUGCUUUUAACUGGGAAGAAGAGCUUCUUUGCGAAGGAGUGUGACGGUACCAGCGGAAUAAGCACCGGCUAACUCCGUGCCAGCAGCCGCGGUAAUACGGAGGGUGCGAGCGUUGUCCGGAUUUAUUGGGUUUAAAGGGUGCGUAGGUGGUUUUGUAAGUCUGGUUUGAAAGUCAGCCGCUUAACGGUUGAGGGUGGCUGGAUACUGCAGAACUUGAAUGCUCUGGAGGUAGGCGGAACGGGUUGUGUAGCGGUGAAAUGCAUAGAUAUGACCCAGAACCCCGAUUGCGAAGGCAGCCUACUACGGGGUGAUUGACACUGAGGCACGAGAGCAUGGGGAGCAAACAGGAUUAGAUACCCUGGUAGUCCAUGCCGUAAACGAUGAUCACUGUCUGUUGGUUUUAGUUAAUCAGUGGAUAAGCGAAAGCGAUAAGUGAUCCACCUGGGGAGUACGCCGGCAACGGUGAAACUCAAAGGAAUUGACGG